AGGCCAGCGCCCCAGAUCCGCCGCCUUUUCCAGACGCCGAGCACCACCUCCACCUCCACCGCAUCGCACAGCGCGACCUUGUCUCUGACCGCUGCGUUCCACCACCACCGUUCAUGAACGUCGCCGACCACCGAGCCCUACACCUUCAAUUCACCGCCAACUCUGCAAAAUCCCCAAAUCCAGAACCAAAACGAUUCUCGGUCAACGAUUUUAGGAGGUUUUGUUUGUUUGCUUGUUUGGGGUUCUAAAAUCGCUGCUCUGCAAUUUCUAAAAUCGAGUGGUUGGGAGGUCGAUGAAGGAGGAGGGUUUGCAGAGUGCGAGGCGGCGAAAAGUCGCGGGGGAA
RNAcentral lists this long non-coding RNA (343 nucleotides) under Salvia miltiorrhiza (redroot sage). RNAcentral's name for it is "long non-coding RNA (SMIL_LNC002992)". The record is from RNAcentral. Lineage: Eukaryota; Viridiplantae; Streptophyta; Magnoliopsida; Lamiales; Lamiaceae.